UACGUAUGGUGCAAGCGUUAUCCGGAUUUACUGGGUGUAAAGGGAGCGUAGACGGAGUGGCAAGUCUGAUGUGAAAACCCGGGGCUCAAUCUUAAAAUUGCAGUUGAAACUGGAGACCUUGAGUACGGUUGAGGCAGGCGGAAUUCGUGGUGUAGCGGUGAAAUGCUUAGAUAUCACGAAGAACCCCGAUUGCGAAGGCAGCCUGCUAAGCCGCCACUGACGUUGAGGCUCGAAAGUGCGGGUAUCAAACAGG
RNAcentral lists this ribosomal RNA (253 nucleotides) under Phocaeicola coprophilus DSM 18228 = JCM 13818. RNAcentral's name for it is "partial 16S ribosomal RNA". It matches the Rfam family "Bacterial small subunit ribosomal RNA", at positions 524 to 776 of the family's 1533-position model. The record is from RNAcentral. Lineage: Bacteria; Pseudomonadati; Bacteroidota; Bacteroidia; Bacteroidales; Bacteroidaceae.